RNAcentral lists this ribosomal RNA (471 nucleotides) under Salmonella enterica. Its description in RNAcentral is "bacterial SSU rRNA". It matches the Rfam family "Bacterial small subunit ribosomal RNA", at positions 1 to 468 of the family's 1533-position model. Lineage: Bacteria; Pseudomonadati; Pseudomonadota; Gammaproteobacteria; Enterobacterales; Enterobacteriaceae. The record is from RNAcentral.
AAAUUGAAGAGUUUGAUCAUGGCUCAGAUUGAACGCUGGCGGCAGGCCUAACACAUGCAAGUCGAACGGUAACAGGAAGUAGCUUGCUGCUUUGCUGACGAGUGGCGGACGGGUGAGUAAUGUCUGGGAAACUGCCUGAUGGAGGGGGAUAACUACUGGAAACGGUGGCUAAUACCGCAUAACGUCGCAAGACCAAAGAGGGGGACCUUCGGGCCUCUUGCCAUCAGAUGUGCCCAGAUGGGAUUAGCUUGUUGGUGAGGUAACGGCUCACCAAGGCGACGAUCCCUAGCUGGUCUGAGAGGAUGACCAGCCACACUGGAACUGAGACACGGUCCAGACUCCUACGGGAGGCAGCAGUGGGGAAUAUUGCACAAUGGGCGCAAGCCUGAUGCAGCCAUGCCGCGUGUAUGAAGAAGGCCUUCGGGUUGUAAAGUACUUUCAGCGGGGAGGAAGGUGUUGUGGUUAAUAACC